This 63-nucleotide transfer RNA is filed under the name Eclipophleps carinata. Its description in RNAcentral is "tRNA-Asp". Lineage: Eukaryota; Metazoa; Arthropoda; Insecta; Orthoptera; Acrididae. The record is from RNAcentral.
AAGGAGUUAGUUAAAAUAUAACAUUAGAAUGUCAGUCUAAAAUAACUAAAAUAGUACACCUUG